UUUCUACUCCCUCCGUUCCAAAUUACUUGUCUUGGAUUUAUCUAGAUACGGAUGUAUCUAGACUCAUGCUAGAUACAUCCGUAUCUAGACAAAUCCAAGACAAGUAACUCGAAACGGAGGGAGUAGAUG
Triticum urartu is the source of this 129-nucleotide non-coding RNA. Lineage: Eukaryota; Viridiplantae; Streptophyta; Magnoliopsida; Poales; Poaceae. The record is from Rfam.